GACGUAGGAUCCAAGCGUUAUCCGGAAUUACUGGGCGUAAAGGGCGUGUAGGAGGUUGGGCAAGUCGGCCAUGAAAGCUCCCGGCUCAACUGGGAGAGGCUGGUCGAUACUGCCUGGCUAGAGGGCAAGAGAGGGAGGUGGAAUUCCCGGUGUAGUGGUGAAAUGCGUAGAUAUCGGGAGGAACACCAGUGGCGAAGGCGGCCUCCUGGCUUGUACCUGACUCUGAAACGCGAAAGCAUGGGUAGCAAACAGGAUUAGAAACCCUGGUAGUCCAUGCCAUAAACGAUGUCAACUGGGUGUCGGCGAAGUAAAAUUUGUCGGUGCCGAAGCUAACGCGUUAAGUUGACCGCCUGAGGACUACGAUCGCAAGAUUA
Molecule: ribosomal RNA, 374 nt
Filed under: uncultured prokaryote
Description: bacterial SSU rRNA
Rfam family: Bacterial small subunit ribosomal RNA
Source: RNAcentral